UGGGGAAUUUUGGACAAUGGGCGCAAGCCUGAUCCAGCAAUGCCGCGUGCAGGAUGAAGGCCUUCGGGUUGUAAACUGCUUUUGUACGGAACGAAAAAGCUUUCUCUAAUACAGGGGGUGAAUGACGGUACCGUAAGAAUAAGCACCGGCUAACUACGUGCCAGCAGCCGCGGUAAUACGUAGGUUGCAAGCGUUAAUCGGAAUUACUGGGCGUAAAGCGUGCGCAGGCGGUUUUGUAAGACAGAGGUGAAAUCCCCGGGCUCAACCUGGGAACUGCCUUUGUGACUGCAAGGCUGGAGUGCGGCAGAGGGUGAUGGAAUUCCGCGGGUAGCAGGGAAAUGCGUAGAUAUGCGGAGGAACACCGAUGGCGAAGGCAAUCCCCUGGGCCUGCACUGACGCUCAUGCACGAAAGCGUGGGGAGCAAACA
RNAcentral lists this ribosomal RNA (427 nucleotides) under uncultured bacterium. Its description in RNAcentral is "bacterial SSU rRNA". It matches the Rfam family "Bacterial small subunit ribosomal RNA", at positions 355 to 774 of the family's 1533-position model. The record is from RNAcentral.